This 253-nucleotide ribosomal RNA is filed under the name uncultured bacterium. Its description in RNAcentral is "partial 16S ribosomal RNA". It matches the Rfam family "Bacterial small subunit ribosomal RNA", at positions 524 to 776 of the family's 1533-position model. The record is from RNAcentral.
GACGUAGGGGGCCAGCGUUGCUCGGAAUUACUGGGCGUAAAGGGUUCGUAGGCGGUGUGGCAAGUCGGGAGUGAAAUCUCUGGGCUCAACCCAGAGUCUGCUUCCGAAACUGCUGUGCUUGAGUGUGGGAGAGGCGCGUGGAAUUGCAGGUGUAGCGGUGAAAUGCGUAGAUAUCUGCAGGAACACCCGUGGCGAAAGCGGCGCGCUGGACCACUACUGACGCUGAGGCGCGAAAGCUAGGGGAGCAAACAGG